Oncorhynchus tshawytscha (Chinook salmon) is the source of this 2065-nucleotide long non-coding RNA. The record is from Ensembl. NCBI's taxonomy places the organism in Eukaryota, Metazoa, Chordata, Actinopteri, Salmoniformes, Salmonidae.
UUGGAUCUUCAUUUUUUGACUAGGCUACCUGGAUUUUACAUUGUGUUGUUAUUUCGCUGAAAACUAGAUGGUUUCAUUUGAUUUUUGGCAGUGAAACGAGGCUACUCAGGUGAGGGAAAAAAAACUCACCCAAGUGUAUAGCCCCGUUGGAAAAUGUAAAUGGACUGUUUGAAAAUGUGAAUCACAUUUUUAUUUGCUCGUACCCCAGUUUGGUGAAUACCUGCUCUAGGGCAACGGUGUCUAGAUGGAAUUUGUUUUUGUGGUCCUGGCAACUGGACCUUUUUUGGAACACCAUUAUUUUUGUCUAAAUGAGAUGUACCUUUCCCUAUCUCUGUCUGCCAGUCACACGUUCUACAUUACAGGCCAGUAGCGCAGACGGCGUUCAGAACGAUCUCAGUGAUUGGCUACACUCCAGUACGUAUGAGAGAUUUCCGCCUCCGGAACGAGCUCAGUGAUUGGCUACACUCCAGUACGUAUGAGAGAUUUCUGCCUCCGGAACGAGCUCAGUGAUUGGCUACACUCCAGAAGGAGAUACAGACAAGGCAGAACAUCUAAAAAGGAAGCUGAUAAAUCGGAGCAGGGUGACGGUUGGACUUCCUCCCCUCAGAGUGGAUUUCCCCUCCCUAACCUUGGGAAAGAGAUGCCACGUGCUCCACAGUUAGAGGUUCCACAUCUCUCUGACGAAGACCCUCUGCCAUGUUACCACCACCAACCUUCCACUGUGCCAGACUGCUGACUAGGUCAAGCCAACCAGGAGAGUAAUUGGGAGAGAAUAUCACUGCCCCAGCCAAUGCCAGACAGACAGACAGAUCAAGAUGACCUGGGAAAUCCAUUUGGGCAUUGGCUUACAUCACCUCUCCACACGGGAUCCAGUGAGGGGCCACAGGGAUGUGGAACAAUUGUUGCAGAUCAUGGAAUUCCCAUCGGUUGGAGCUUCCCGCCUGUUUCGUGGUGGAGCUAAAAGUAGCAUCUGCCAUCGUUCAGUCAGAGCAUCAAACUCUCCGAUUAGUUUCCUUCUCCUGACCCAUAAAGUUAGGGGAGCUGUGAAUGUUCUUCUCUCUGUACACUCACUGAGAUGUUUCACAUUGUGUAUAAACCCCAUGACAAACGGUAAGAUGGCGCUUGUCUGUUCUCUUUGAAGAGACUGUGUGGAGAUGGAUUGCACAGGCUCUGCUAUCUGACAGCUAGCUGGGCCUCUAAGUUCACAGUGUUACAGAAAAGCUGGAACAAGCGUGUGGACAUGGAGAAAACACACACUGAAAGACCAUCCCACAGAGAACUAGAAAGAUGUAGAAUGUACUGGAUGAAAUUUCCUAGUCUUUACAACUGACAUGGAGUCAGUCCAAGACACUCACCUUGAACUCUAAAUGGUACACUUCUGUUGUUCCUCUCAUUACCAUUCCUGUCAAGUCCUGUGUUCAUACUGGGAUUAGUACAUAGUUCUCACACCCAUAGGCGGAUGUCAUGAGCAAGACAUAGGUCAAAAGGUUGAAUGUUGUCUGUGUUGUAGGGGUACGGUGUUUAAAAAUGAUUUCUGUCAGAUGUCUGUCUACCUGCUGAAAUCCAAGUUCAGAAGACGUUGCUCUGCUCAGAAUGUAGCAGUUGAGGCAACACUCCCAAAGCAGUACAAAUGUAACAUUUGUUGUGGAGAAAAUAAAUCUGAGCUGUCCGAUACAUUUUAUGCAUAUUGUUGUUCAAAUUUCAGUGAUACAUUUCUGUAGACAAUGAGCAAAAAGCAUCCCUCAAUCGUACAGAGUGCACCUUUCACCAUACCAAGGGUACACACCAAUAACGACCCCAGGUGGCUAAGCAACACACAAACCAGUCCUUCAUUAACCAGUCACUAAGGUUGCUGAGGUGGCAAGUCGCUAAGGUCUGAACUCCAGCUCAAAGGUCAUGCCACAUGACAGCUGCAUUUCCUACAUGUUUUCACAGGUUCUCUAAUCACUGUAGAUUGACAACAGCACAGACGGUCCCAUUCAACCUCCCUGCCUGCCUCUCCCUCAGAUGCCUAGAUUAAACAAACACCCGUGGCCCGUCCUCACAGUCCUGAGUUGCAGCUCCC